Molecule: ribosomal RNA, 468 nt
Filed under: uncultured bacterium
Lineage: Bacteria
Description: partial 16S ribosomal RNA
Rfam family: Bacterial small subunit ribosomal RNA
Source: RNAcentral
GACGAACGCUGGCGGCGCGCCUAACACAUGCAAGUCGAACGGAGAUGCGAGAAGCUUGCUUUUCGUAGCUUAGUGGCGAACGGGUGAGUAACGCGCGAGUAACCUGCCCUGGAUAGGUGGACAACAGUUGGAAACGACUGCUAAUACCGCAUAAGCCCACGAUCCGGCAUCGGAUUGAGGGAAACGGAUUUAUUCGCGUCAGGGUGGACUCGCGUCCAAUUAGCUAUAUGGUGCGGUAACGGCACAGCAAGGCGACGAUUGGGAGCCGGGCUGAGAAGCUGCCCCGCUACGUUUGGGCUGAGACACGGACCAGACUCCGACGGGAGGGAGCAGUGGGUGAUAUUGCACAAUGGGGGAUGCCCUGAUGACGCGGCGUCGCGUGGAGGAAGAAGGUUUUCGUAUUGUAAUCUCCUCACGUUAGGGACGAUAAUGACGGUACCUAAAAAGAAAGCACCGGCUAACUACGUG